GAUGAACGCUGGCGGUAUGCUUAACACAUGCAAGUCGAACGGUCACUUCGGUGCUAGUGGCGGACGGGUGAGUAACGCGUGCGAAUCUGUCUUCAGGUCGGGGACAACAGUUAGAAAUGACUGCUAAUACCGGAUGUGCCUUUGGGUGAAAGAUUUAUUGCCUGAAAAAGAGCUCGCGUCAGAUUAGCUAGUAGGUGGUGUAAGAGACUACCUAGGCUCCGAUCUGUAGCUGGUCUGAGAGGACGAUCAGCCACACUGGAACUGAGACACGGUCCAGACUCCUACGGGAGGCAGCAGUGGGGAAUUUUCCGCAAUGGGCGAAAGCCUGACGGAGCAAUACCGCGUGAGGGACGAAGGCUUUUGGGUCGUAAACCUCUUUUCUCAAGGAAGAUGAUGACGGUACUUGAGGAAUAAGCAUCGGCUAACUCUGUG
This 432-nucleotide ribosomal RNA is filed under the name uncultured bacterium. RNAcentral's name for it is "partial 16S ribosomal RNA". It matches the Rfam family "Bacterial small subunit ribosomal RNA", at positions 28 to 507 of the family's 1533-position model. The record is from RNAcentral.